UACGAAGGGGGCUAGCGUUGCUCGGAAUCACUGGGCGUAAAGGGUGCGUAGGCGGGUCUUUAAGUCAGGGGUGAAAUCCUGGAGCUCAACUCCAGAACUGCCUUCGAUACUGGGAAGCUCGAGUCCGGGAGAGGUGAGUGGAACUGCGAGUGUAGAGGUGAAAUUCGUAGAUAUUCGCAAGAACACCAGUGGCGAAGGCGGCUCACUGGCCCGGUACUGACGCUGAGGCGCGAAAGCGUGGGGAGCAAACAGG
RNAcentral lists this ribosomal RNA (253 nucleotides) under uncultured bacterium. RNAcentral describes it as "partial 16S ribosomal RNA". It matches the Rfam family "Bacterial small subunit ribosomal RNA", at positions 524 to 776 of the family's 1533-position model. The record is from RNAcentral.